Molecule: unclassified non-coding RNA, 405 nt
Filed under: Acromyrmex echinatior (Panamanian leafcutter ant)
Lineage: Eukaryota; Metazoa; Arthropoda; Insecta; Hymenoptera; Formicidae
Description: rNA-binding protein 7-like, transcript variant X1
Source: RNAcentral
CGAAGAUGCACGUACACUUUAUUGUGGGAAUCUAAGUGAGAAAGUCACUGAGGAUAUUCUCUACGAGUUAUUCUUACAAUCCACUUCAUCAGGGCGAGGAACAGCCUGAUAUUGAACUGUUCCUCCAGGGUUCCUCUUCUGAACUGACCUCGUUCCUUUUUUAUAUUACGCUACUUGUUGGAGUGGCGUUACUACAUCCCAUAAGAAUAAUACAAAUGAUUUGCGCAUGCAUAUCGAAAUAAACAAGAUGUUUGGAAUUUAAAUGUCAAAACUUCGGGAGCGUGUAAGGGAUCGGGUUUCCCACACAAAGAAGUUCAGUGGUUUGAAGUUCAUCAGGAUGACCAAGACAAUAGUAAUUCACUCGAUGACUUCCGACAAGUACUGACGAAUUUACAUUUAUUUUAG